RNAcentral lists this ribosomal RNA (434 nucleotides) under uncultured bacterium. Its description in RNAcentral is "partial 16S ribosomal RNA". It matches the Rfam family "Bacterial small subunit ribosomal RNA", at positions 29 to 507 of the family's 1533-position model. The record is from RNAcentral.
AGCGAACGCUGGCGGCAGGCCUAACACAUGCAAGUCGAACGAACCUUUCGGGGUUAGUGGCGGACGGGUGAGUAACACGUGGGAACGUGCCUUUAGGUUCGGAAUAACUCAGGGAAACUUGUGCUAAUUCCGAAUGUGCCCUUCGGGGGAAAGAUUUAUCGCCUUUAGAGCGGCCCGCGUCUGAUUAGCUAGUUGGUUGAGGUAAUGGCUCACCAAGGCGACGAUCAGUAGCUGGUCUGAGAGGAUGAUCAGCCACAUUGGGACUGAGACACGGCCCAAACUCCUACGGGAGGCAGCAGUGGGGAAUCUUGCGCAAUGGGCGAAAGCCUGACGCAGCCAUGCCGCGUGAAUGAUGAAGGUCUUAGGAUUGUAAAAUUCUUUCACCGGGGACGAUAAUGACGGUACCCGGAGAAGAAGCCCCGGCUAACUUCGUG